AGGGGCUUAGGAUAACAUUAAACCAAGGGCCUUCAAAGCCCUAAACGGGAGUGAAAACCUCCCAGCCUCUG
This 71-nucleotide transfer RNA is filed under the name Zalieutes elater. RNAcentral describes it as "tRNA-Trp". It matches the Rfam family "tRNA". Rfam says of the family: Transfer RNA (tRNA) molecules are approximately 80 nucleotides in length. Their secondary structure includes four short double-helical elements and three loops (D, anti-codon, and T loops). Lineage: Eukaryota; Metazoa; Chordata; Actinopteri; Lophiiformes; Ogcocephalidae. The record is from RNAcentral.